GUCCAGACUCCUACGGGAGGCAGCAGUGGGGAAUAUUGCACAAUGGGCGCAAGCCUGAUGCAGCCAUGCCGCGUGUGUGAAGAAGGCCUUCGGGUUGUAAAGCACUUUCAGCGGGGAGGAAGGCGGUGAGGUUAAUAACCUCAUCGAUUGACGUUACCCGCAGAAGAAGCACCGGCUAACUCCGUGCCAGCAGCCGCGGUAAUACGGAGGGUGCAAGCGUUAAUCGGAAUUACUGGGCGUAAAGCGCACGCAGGCGGUCUGUCAAGUCGGAUGUGAAAUCCCCGGGCUCAACCUGGGAACUGCAUUCGAAACUGGCAGGCUAGAGUCUUGUAGAGGGGGGUAGAAUUCCAGGUGUAGCGGUGAAA
RNAcentral lists this ribosomal RNA (365 nucleotides) under Acinetobacter baumannii. RNAcentral's name for it is "bacterial SSU rRNA". It matches the Rfam family "Bacterial small subunit ribosomal RNA", at positions 329 to 686 of the family's 1533-position model. The record is from RNAcentral. Lineage: Bacteria; Pseudomonadati; Pseudomonadota; Gammaproteobacteria; Moraxellales; Moraxellaceae.